Numida meleagris (helmeted guineafowl) is the source of this 1133-nucleotide long non-coding RNA. RefSeq lists it as uncharacterized. Lineage: Eukaryota; Metazoa; Chordata; Aves; Galliformes; Numididae. The transcript is spliced from 2 exons. The record is from RefSeq and is a predicted model, not a curated record.
GAUUCCUAAGCACUUUUAAUAGCAAGUCACCCGACAGCUUCCUGAGGAGGCAGUAAGCACCUUGCAGCUAAAACUGGAACAGAGAGAACAGGAGAAAAUAAACUGCAGAAAAUAGCCCUGCAGCAAUACAAGGAUCUGUCCAUCCUCCUGGGCUUGUGUACCAGGAUGGAGCUGUGCAAGAGCCAAGGAAUCAACCCCAGCACCUGCCUCAGCAUUUGCAACCUGAUGGACAAGAGCCCAGGGGAAGGCUAUUUCCACCACUUGGCUGCGAAAAAAUUUAAUAGCAGGUUUGCUUUGCAUGACUGCUCCAAAACCAAUCCUGCAUGACCCCAAGCCCUGCCCGUGACUGUCCCUGAGCAGGAUGCAGCAGCAAGCACAACAUCCAGCAGCAGGUGGACACGUGCUGAUGGCUGAGCUGCAUAACCAAAUGGAUAUGGUGAGCUGGGUCAGUCCAAAGGGGACGAAUCAAGAGAAGAGGAGAUGCUAUUUUCAGGUUUCUGAAGAGGUAUUCCUAACAAAAAGAAAGAAAGAUGAAAAACUGGGCUCGACAGAGUCCUCUAGAGAGGAGAUAAAGGCAAGGGCGUUUUUUUUCUAACUUGAGAUUUUGAGCUUUUUUACUCUUUGUCCAGUUGGCUUUGGAGAUCGAGGUCGAGGAGCGCACUCGUGUUUGUCCCAGCUGAUGCAGGAGCGCACAGGCUUUGAACAAUGAGACUUUGUUCUUCUGCCAAAUGCAGCAGUGCCUGCGCUGUUGCUCAGGAACAAACACAUUAAGAAGUCACUGAAAAUCAAUUGAUGGCUCACUUCAAGGAGUGCAGCAGCAUACUGUUAAGAUGAAUGAGUUUGCCUGGCAUAGGACACCACAAAGAGCAGAGAUCUUCAGAAAGACACCCUGUAGUUUCCCCUGAACCUGCAAUGUGAUGGAGAAGAUGACCUUCAGCUUUGUCGGAGACUGUGGGUCAGACUUGACCUUCAGAUACUGGGGAGUCAAGAGGAACUGCAAAUAUUCAUCCCGUGGACAAGAUUUGGCCCUCUGCCUAGUGCCCGAGGCACUUUGUGUUGUCUCUGAGUGAUAACGCGCUUACACCACACCAAAAUGUAUUUCAGGAUAACAUUAAAGGUAUGAUCCACAGAAA